GCGGGCGCUCCUCCCCCAGCCUCGCUGCCGCCUUGCAGUUUGAUCUGAGACUGCUGUGCUAGCAAUCAGCGAGACUCCCUGGGCGUAGGACCCUCCGAGCCAGGUGCGGGUUAUAAUCUCGUGGUGCGCCGUUUUUUAAGCCUGUCGGAAAAGCGCAGUAUUCGGGUGGGAGUGACCGGAUUUUCCAGGUGCCGUCCGUCACCCCUUUCUUUGACUCGGAAAGGGAACUCCCUGACCCCUUGCGCUUCCCAAGUGAGUCAGUGCCUCGCCCUGCUUUGGCUCGCGCACGGUGCGCGCACCCACUGACCUGCGCCCAAUGUCUGGCACUCCAUAGUGAGAUGAACCCGGUACCUCAGAUGGAAAUGCGGAAAUCACCCGUCUUCUGCGUCGCUCACGCUGGGAGCUGUAGACCGGAGCUGUUCCUAUUCGGCCAUCUUGGCUCCCCCCCACAAGAAUAUGACUGCAUUUGGAAAUAGGGACUUUAAAGAGGUGAUUAAGUUACAAUGAGGCCACUAGAGUAGACAAUUAUCCAUUUGGACUGAUGUGCUUAGAAGAAGAGCAUAUUGGUGAAAAGAGACACCAGAGGUACACCAGCACAGAGAAAGACCAUGUGAGGACACAGUGAGAAGAUGGCCAUCUGCAAGCCAAGGACAGAGGCCUCAGGAGAAACCAACCCUGAUGACACCUUGAUCUUGGACUUCACAGCCUCCAGAACUAACAUACUCAAGUGUCUCAGCUCAACAUUUGGAGAUGAGCCAUCCUCCUCUUAUUGUAAAAAAAGCUUGAAGGAGUAUUUUCACAGCGAUGGAACUGGAAGUUAAGGCAACUUCUAUCAGCAUCAAGAAAAGAAACGAAGUAUUCACCACUUAUGAAACAACAUCUCUCUUCUCAUCAAUAGUUUGAUUUACAGCAUCUACUGCAGAAGACCUCAAUAAUGCAUAAGAACAUCUGGAAGUACGGUAAUUUCAGCUAUCAGAGAUAAGAAUUGACACAGAACAGGGAGGAAAACGGGAGCUCCUCUUCUGAUAUCACUGUGAGGAGCUCCAUGGGUCCACUCCCUAGUGAAACUUAUCAGCUGGACAGAAACUCUACUCCAAAAUGGAACAGCCAAGAACACAGGCUUCUCUCUUCUUCCAGCAUCAAGUUGGAGGGCUCUCUUCCCUUAUGGUUCAGAACAUCAACAGUUUUCAUCUUGAUCCCAGCUACCUGUUUCUGAAUCUAAAUUCUGGAUGAGUAUGGCUAAGGCACGGAGGACCCCUUUUAUUUCCUAGUCCUCACUUAUGGGAAAAAUGAUCUAGUAUGGGAGUGGUGUCUGGGCAUACUGGAGCCCCCAGUUGCCCUUGCCCUGGCUCAUGGGAUGAGAAUUUCAUAAGAACAAAGGAAGCAUGCCAAAGAUACCUAAAGAUGCUGCCCCCUUCUUAUCCACUGAGUGUUCAGCUCUUCAACUGGGGUGUCACUUAGAAAGAAGCUCGCCAUUUUCCCUGUCCCAACGCCAAACACUGGGUUAAUAUUUUGUCUGAGAAAACAAGCCGUAGAACAGAGAACUUCAAAGGCCACUUUAAAGAAAGGAACUUCAUUUGCAGCAAAAUGCAAAAAAGUCAGGCACUGGAGCACUCUCAGGAGGACAUCUAGGUAAAAAGCAGUUGGCAAGUGAUGAACACAUUCAUGUGAAAUAUGAGCUCUUCUUAGAGAAGCUAGCUCGUUGGAAAGAAAUGGAGAAAUAGACAGCUUGCAAGAGCCCUUCUGGUGUCAGAACAAAUCUCAAACACUGACCUUUGGAACUACACCUUCAAGGAGCCUAAAUUUCAUUGGAUUAGUGUGUGGAACAAUUUAUGCCCUGGGAUAUUACUGUAAACAGUAGAGCAAUGAGCCAGCAAUUGCUGGAGCUUAACAUGUGGUGUGGUAAGGAGAGAUAAAGAGAGCCCUGUCGAACCUAGAAUAACUCUGGGCUUACCAAAGGGUGUAUCCUCUGAAAAGCAACAUCACGCAGACUUCACUAAAACAACCCAGCCAGUUACUAAACAAGUAAAGAAGAAAAUAUCAAUAACCAGCUCUAGAAUGGAGAGGAAAAUUGCUACAAUACAUUAUCUAAAUUGUUCAGUUUCCAGAAAAAAAAAAUUAGACAUUCAAAGAAACAUGAAAGGAUGAGCCAAAUACUAGAAAAAAAGCAAGCAACAAAAACUGCUGGUGAGAAACAACAGAAAUUGUGUAUAAUAGAUAAAUACUUCAAAGUAGCCCUUAUAAAUAUGUUCAAAGAGCUAAAGAAAACCAUUAUUAAAGAAGUAAACUAUGAUGGAAGUGUUACAUUAGAUAGAGAAGAUCAACAAAAACAUGGAAAUUAUUUGAAAAAUAGAAAAAUCUGAAACUGAAAAGUGUAAUAACUAAAAUGAAGCAUUUACCAGAGGGGCUCAUUAGUAGAUUUUAACAGGCAGAGGAAAGAAUUAGAAAAUUUGAAGACAUUAAUGAGGAAAAAUAAACAAAGAUUCAGAGGAAAUGUAUAUACAGGUUGAGUAUCCCUUAUCCAAAAUGCUUGGGAACAGAAGUGUUUCAGAUUUCAGAUUUUUUAAAAUUGUAGAAUAUUUGCAUAUACAUAGUGAGAUAUCUUGGAGAGGAGACCCAAGUGUAAACACAAAAUUUAUUUGUGUUUCAUAUAUACCUUAUACACAUAGCCUGAAAGUAAUUUUGUAUAAUAUUUUUAAUAAUUUUGUGUAUGAAACGAAGUUUCUGCAUAUUGAACCAUCAGAAAGCAAAAGUGUCACUAUCUCAGCCACUCACGUGGAAAAUCUGUUUUUGUUGGCAUCACCAUCAUUCCUGAAUCUGAAUUUCUCUGCUAUCACAUCUGGAAAUCUGCAGAUUUGGAUGCACAAACAAUUAGACAUAAGACACAGCAUAAUGAAGUAUUUGUUUUCAUAGAGGAUCAUAGAAAUUCAUAAACAGAGGAUGAAGAAACACAGAAGACAGAGGAAGGAUUUAGUUUUGGGGACGUGUGCUAAUGGCCAUCAAACAAUUCUGAAAUAACUGAAAGAGAACCUUUGAAACACCCUUUAGAUUAAGAGCCUGGCUUGUAAUCUAUAACAACAAACGGUAUUACAAUGAGGAUGCUUAGGUUUGCCCUGAUGCCGGAACAGCACAUUUCAGGUUAGUCUACACCAGCAUUUCUCCAUUAGAGAUGACCGUCACCUUUUAUUGGUUUUUUCAUCCUUGCUUGCCACAGAAAAUGCAAACAUGCAAACAAAUGAAUGAGGGCAUGCCCGUCUAAGGAAAAUUCAAAUCCUGUAUGAGGUACUAUAGUGAGAUUGGACUUGUUUAACCAGCAUAGUUCAGAGUGAUCAAGACUGUGUUGGAGGAGAAGAUGAUUGCUUUAUGUGAACUGAGCCCUGCUGCCACACUUUAAAUACUUUUCAUCUUCUGCCAGCUUGCAUCAGCUGUCAGAGGGACAUGCAAAAAAGGAAAUGAAGAUGCAUUUGACUCCAAAACAUUUAGAGAGCAAAAGAAAAGAUCCUUAAAGUGAAGAAUAGAUUUUAAAUUCACUGAAAGACAUCGAAAAGAAGAUUCUCUAUGCAGUUACAAGAUCAUGAUUUUUGGCCAUUUGCAUGGUUCAGGAAUACGAUAGAAGAAGAAGAGGAGCACUUGAUUAAUUGAAACGUCAUUGCAUGGUCACCACAGGUCAAGUGUACAGAGAAAAAUAUAUGUUGGCUACACCCUUAAGAAUCUUACAAACUGAUGAGAAGUUGGGUAAUAGAAAAUGUGCAGAAAUUUCUUAUAAUUUUGCCACUGGGUUUUCUGAAAAAUUUUAUCCUGCAUAAGUGACUUAAUUAUGCCCAUUUCUUCUUUUUCAGUCAGUGUUGGUUCAUUUCAAGAUCAGCACUUCUCUGAACCCUUUUUUUCCAUCUAAACCCUCAUGGUGGCAUAAAAAAAAAAAACAAAAAAAACAAAAAACCAGUCCAACCAAAAAACUCCAGACACUAUCUCCUUACUGCUUAUUUUCCCAAUAUUUUGUGAUACAAAAUUUCAAACAGAUUCAAGGUGAACAUCUAUGUGGCCACUACCUAAAUUCUACCAUUGAUAUUUUACUAUAAACAUUUCAUCACAUAUCCAAUUAUCUAGCCAUCAAUCCAACUUAUAAUUUUUAAUGCAUUUCUAAGAAAUUGCAGACAACAUUACACUUUCCCUAAAUACAUCAGCAUGCCUAUAAUUAACUAGAGGUUAAUAUAUGUUUACCAUAUUUUUUUCUCUUCAAGUACAUUUUACAUACACAAGACAUAUAUACUUGCUGAGUUCUGAUGAAUGCAUAUGUUUGUAUAACCCAACCCCCUGUCAAGAUAUAGGUCACUACCUGUAUCCCAGAAAAUUCCCUCAUCCCGUUUCUAAUCAAUAUUCUACUUCCACCCCAAGAGAGGAAACUGCUGUUCUGUUUCUUCAAUACAGAUUAGUUUUGCUUGUUUUAGAACUUCAUAUAAAAUGGAAUAAUACAGUAUGUACUCCUUUGUGGGUGGCUUCUUUCGCUCUGCAAAUCAUUUUUUUGAGAUCCAUCCAUGCUAAAUGUAUCAGUAGUUUGUUUCUUUUUAUGGCUGAAUAGUAUUACAUUCUCUGAAUACAGUGAAGUUUGUUUAUCUAUUCUCAUAUUGAUGGGCACUUGGACUUUUUCUAGUUUUUAGGUAUUAUAAAUAAAACUUCUAUGAACAUUCUUUGUUAUUUAUGACUUUAGUUUCAAUAGUUUUGAGAGUACAGGUGGCUUUUUCUUACAUGGGUAAGUUGGUUAGUGGUAAUUUCUGAGAUUGUGGUGCAUCUGUUACCUAAGCAGCGUACACUCUACCCAAUAUGUAGUCUUUUAUCCCUCACCCCCCUUGAACAUUCUUUUUAUGGACAUAUGAUUAUAUUUCCUUUGGAAAAAUAUCUGAAUGGAAUUGCUGAUAAUAGAGUAGGUAUAUUGCUACUUUUAUAAGAAACUGAUGGGCCUUUUUACAAAAUUAAUGCUUAUCUUUAUAUUCCCACCAACAUUAAAUUAAAAUUCUGGUUGGCUCACCUCCUUGACAACAUCCGUUAUUGUCAGGCUUUUUAUUUUAGGUUCCCUUGCAUUUUUACUUCUCUAGAUUUUUCCUCAUUUCUCUUGUCUUCAAUCACUCUCUUUCUCCAGAAUUCUUUUUAUCAGCCUUCAAACACGCUCUUGUACUUUCCUCCUUAAAAAACAAAGCAAAACAAAAAUUUUGACCAAUGUCCCCCUUCAGCUACCAAAUUAUUUCUCCACUCUGCUUAACAAGUAUGUUUCUUCACCUUAUCAAUUAACCUACCUCCACUUUAUCACUUGAAAUAUCCUGAUGUCUAGAUGCUGGGAUUCCUUAGACUAUGGUCCUGGGCCCUCUUAUGUUCUAAUCAUUCACUCUCUCCCCAGAAGAUCAUAUUAAUUCCUGGGGGUUUUAAAUACAUCUCUAUGCCAACAACUUUUAAACUUAUAUUUCGGGUCUGUAUUUCCCUCUGAGUUCUAUCUACCUUCUUUACAUUUCCAUUUGUCUAGGAUUCUGAUAUUUCAAGUCACAAUAUCUGACUUUGAACUAGAACUCUUCCAAGUAUUCUGUUCCUCCAGGAUUUUUCAUCUUCCUUAGGAUAGUGUAUUUCCUUUUCUUCAUGUCUAGAAAA
Gorilla gorilla gorilla (western lowland gorilla) is the source of this 5637-nucleotide long non-coding RNA. RefSeq lists it as uncharacterized. Lineage: Eukaryota; Metazoa; Chordata; Mammalia; Primates; Hominidae. The transcript is spliced from 10 exons. The record is from RefSeq and is a predicted model, not a curated record.